This 254-nucleotide ribosomal RNA is filed under the name uncultured bacterium. RNAcentral's name for it is "partial 16S ribosomal RNA". It matches the Rfam family "Bacterial small subunit ribosomal RNA", at positions 524 to 776 of the family's 1533-position model. The record is from RNAcentral.
UACGUAGGGUGCAAGCGUUAAUCGGAAUUACUGGGCGUAAAGCGUGCGCAGGCGGUCUGUUAAGACCGAUGUGAAAUCCCCGGGCUUAACCUGGGAACUGCAUUGGUGACUGGCAGGCUUUGAGUGUGGCAGAGGGAGGUAGAAUUCCACGUGUAGCAGUGAAAUGCGUAGAGAUGUGGAGGAAUACCGAUGGCGAAGGCAGCCUCCUGGGCCAACACUGACGCUCAUGCACGAAAGCGUGGGGAGCAAACCGG